AGAGUGCUCUAAAAGAGUGGGUUGGCUGGUUGAGAAGCAACUGGAGUGAGUUGACUACUUUGUGAGGAAGUGGAGUCAGUUGGCUGUUUUACUUUGUGAGGAAGAAAGAGUCAGUGCUCUGAAGAGCUGCCCCAAGAAGAGUUCUGUUUCCCAUCUCUCACACACCGAUUGGGAAGGUUAGGUGGUUUUCUGCUCUAUGCAGAAGUAGCAAAAAAUUGAUAGUGCUUCCUGGUUUUGCUUAUCCUAAUGACAAUGUCAUGCUACCUGGUGAAACCAGAGGAACUGGAAAACAGCUGGGCAGUGGUGCCUUUGUGGAGAGCACCCUGGCUCUGAUCCUGCCUUCCUAAGACUUCUAUGUGAAACCAGCAGAGCUUGGCUGCAGUUGUAGUUAUUCACUACAAUUGUAGUGGAUAUUGAAAACUAGGACACUUGUGAAUAUUUUAGUUACUUUUCUGUAGACGUCAGAAGGAAGUUCCAGGUUGCUGCAUGAUAAAUAAUAGAGACUGUGAUUUAUUUACUAUUUAUACUCUCAGCGUUUGUCAGAAGAGCGCAAGUGAAAAGUCCUGUGUCACCAAAAAAUUUUCCUUACCUCAUCACACUUAAGCUGUAGCUGCAGCACAGCUUUUUGCUCAAGAAGGGUUUGCAGAAUUUUAGUCUCGAGUUCACUUAACCUCUGUAGAGCUGUGCAGAGCUGUCACACUUGAAAAUGAAGGAGAGAGGAUAUCAAGCUCCUUUUGUGAAACAGCUUGGAGAGUUGUGUUUUAGUUCUGCUGUAAGGCCUGGAAGUGCCUUCAAGUGCAAUGUGAAUUAAUAUGCCCAGUAUGAGUUAUAGUUGUUGAUUUUUACAUUUUUAAGGACUCUGGUUCUGAUGUGCAGUAAGAAAAAAGGAAUCAUUUAUCUGCUCUUUAAUAAUUAGUGAGAUGAUUGGUGUAGUCUGAUAUUAUAUAGUUGUUCAGUCAGGGAAAUUGUGGUUUUGUCACUGCAUACAGGGAGUGGACUUCUUUUCUGCUGAGAGAAAGCCUCUGUCUUCCUGGAGCUGUGUAAUUUCACUUAAACAAGCUCCUGAAACUCCUAAAUUUUAAAUUUGCUCUGUACCAUCCAUCUGUAAGUGGCCAUAACAGGCAAAUUUGGGUGUGAUUACAGAUUUUCUAGUUUUGAAACUUUGUAUGUUGAUUUACUGCACAUUUAUUCCUGUUGCUGGAACCCUGAAAAGGAUGUCUUUUUCCAACUCAGAAAUACUAAAAAAAGUUAUCUGUUUUGUUUUUUUUUUCCUAAAUAAAUAAGUUAAUUCCAAAUCAGCAUUUCUGUAGAUUGCAGUUGCAUACUUGUAAAGAUAAUAUUUGCUAUUUCCUUCUGGAAUUUAAUAAUAAUUUUACUGUUCAUUAGUAAGAAUGUUUCUUUUCCACUUCUUGAUAUUCCCAUGCUUUUGCAACUACUUUGAGGGAGUAGUCCUUGGCCACAAUGUAGACCAGCAAGUUCUCUUAUCUGCUGGGUUCAAUAUCUCAUUUAUAUUUAUAGAUUUUGUAGUUGUUGAGUGAUGUAAUGUUAUAGGAAUGUGCUUGGAGUGUGCUUUUUUUUAAAUCUGCAAUUAUGUGAAUUUUCCAGUUUCUGUAUUUUGUAACAAAUUUUCUCAUGAGCAACUUUAUUCAUCACUGGGUACUUGGAUUCUAUAAGAAUGAAAACGAAAAUCUUGGUAUAUUUUUGCCCAAGUUUGUAUUGUGCCGUGUAGUCUUCAGAUUAGGCAACUUUCUGAUGGGAAAUAACAGCCACAACAUCAAUCAUGCUUCAUCUGAAUAUCUUGGGACUAGAUCUGAGCUUGUGACAGUUUUUGGUUAUUUUUGCCUCAUGAAAGUUCUUGCUAUAAAGAUAUUUUGCUGCUCUUGACUGAUCUGCAGCCUGUGAUAGAACAGGCAACUUACAUUCACCUGAAUAUCUUUGUCACAUCUUUGCAACACUUGUCAGGUAUACAUUUGUUAUUGUUGUCACAAUUACUACAUGUUGGUGUUUCUUCUGGAUUAAAUGAAGUUGUAUCUUA
This is a long non-coding RNA of Passer domesticus (house sparrow), 2035 nucleotides long. RefSeq lists it as uncharacterized. The transcript has 2 exons. NCBI's taxonomy places the organism in Eukaryota, Metazoa, Chordata, Aves, Passeriformes, Passeridae. The record is from RefSeq and is a predicted model, not a curated record.